GAAACGCCCGGUCCCAUUCCGAACCCGGAAGCUAAGCCUUUCAGCGCCGAUGGUACUGCCCGGGGGACUGGGUGGGAGAGUAGGACGCCGCCGGAC
RNAcentral lists this ribosomal RNA (96 nucleotides) under Actinomycetota bacterium. Lineage: Bacteria; Bacillati; Actinomycetota. The record is from RNAcentral.